CGAACGGGUGAGUAACACGUGGGUAACCUGCCCAUCAGAAGGGGAUAACACUUGGAAACAGGUGCUAAUACCGUAUAACAAUCGAAACCGCAUGGUUUCGGUUUGAAAGGCGCUUUUGCGUCACUGAUGGAUGGACCCGCGGUGCAUUAGCUAGUUGGUGAGGUAACGGCUCACCAAGGCGACGAUGCAUAGCCGACCUGAGAGGGUGAUCGGCCACAUUGGGACUGAGACACGGCCCAA
This 240-nucleotide ribosomal RNA is filed under the name uncultured bacterium. RNAcentral's name for it is "partial 16S ribosomal RNA". It matches the Rfam family "Bacterial small subunit ribosomal RNA", at positions 99 to 334 of the family's 1533-position model. The record is from RNAcentral.